Molecule: ribosomal RNA, 1185 nt
Filed under: Bacillus licheniformis
Lineage: Bacteria; Bacillati; Bacillota; Bacilli; Caryophanales; Bacillaceae
Description: bacterial SSU rRNA
Rfam family: Bacterial small subunit ribosomal RNA
Source: RNAcentral
UCGAGCGGACCGACGGGAGCUUGCUCCCUUAGGUCAGCGGCGGAUGUGGUGAGUAACACGUGGGUAACCUGCCUGUAAGACUGGGAUAACUCCGGGAAACCGGGGCUAAUACCGGAUGCUUGAUUGAACCGCAUGGUUCAAUCAUAAAAGGUGGCUUUUAGCUACCACUUACAGAUGGACCCGCGGCGCAUUAGCUAGUUGGUGAGGUAACGGCUCACCAAGGCGACGAUGCGUAGCCGACCUGAGAGGGUGAUCGGCCACACUGGGACUGAGACACGGCCCAGACUCCUACGGGAGGCAGCAGUAGGGAAUCUUCCGCAAUGGACGAAAGUCUGACGGAGCAACGCCGCGUGAGUGAUGAAGGUUUUCGGAUCGUAAAACUCUGUUGUUAGGGAAGAACAAGUACCGUUCGAAUAGGGCGGCACCUUGACGGUACCUAACCAGAAAGCCACGGCUAACUACGUGCCAGCAGCCGCGGUAAUACGUAGGUGGCAAGCGUUGUCCGGAAUUAUUGGGCGUAAAGCGCGCGCAGGCGGUUUCUUAAGUCUGAUGUGAAAGCCCCCGGCUCAACCGGGGAGGGUCAUUGGAAACUGGGGAACUUGAGUGCAGAAGAGGAGAGUGGAAUUCCACGUGUAGCGGUGAAAUGCGUAGAGAUGUGGAGGAACACCAGUGGCGAAGGCGACUCUCUGGUCUGUAACUGACGCUGAGGCGCGAAAGCGUGGGGAGCGAACAGGAUUAGAUACCCUGGUAGUCCACGCCGUAAACGAUGAGUGCUAAGUGUUAGAGGGUUUCCGCCCUUUAGUGCUGCAGCAAACGCAUUAAGCACUCCGCCUGGGGAGUACGGUCGCAAGACUGAAACUCAAAGGAAUUGACGGGGGCCCGCACAAGCGGUGGAGCAUGUGGUUUAAUUCGAAGCAACGCGAAGAACCUUACCAGGUCUUGACAUCCUCUGACAACCCUAGAGAUAGGGCUUCCCCUUCGGGGGCAGAGUGACAGGUGGUGCAUGGUUGUCGUCAGCUCGUGUCGUGAGAUGUUGGGUUAAGUCCCGCAACGAGCGCAACCCUUGAUCUUAUUUGCCAGCAUUCAGUUGGGCACUCUAAGGUGACUGCCGGUGACAAACCGGAGGAAGGUGGGGAUGACGUCAAAUCAUCAUGCCCCUUAUGACCUGGGCUACACACGUGCUAC